RNAcentral lists this ribosomal RNA (253 nucleotides) under uncultured bacterium. RNAcentral describes it as "partial 16S ribosomal RNA". It matches the Rfam family "Bacterial small subunit ribosomal RNA", at positions 524 to 776 of the family's 1533-position model. The record is from RNAcentral.
UACAGAGGUCCCAAGCGUUGUUCGGAUUCACUGGGCGUAAAGGGUGCGUAGGUGGUAGGGUAAGUUUGAUGUGAAAGCUCCGAGCUCAACUCGGAAAUGGCAUUGAAUACUAUCCUGCUUGAGGGUUGGAGGGGGGACUGGAAUUCUCGGUGUAGCAGUGAAAUGCGUAGAUAUCGAGAGGAACACCGGUGGCGAAGGCGAGUCCCUGGACAACACCUGACACUGAGGCACGAAAGCUAGGGGAGCAAACAGG